Molecule: non-coding RNA, 323 nt
Organism: Anolis sagrei ordinatus
Lineage: Eukaryota; Metazoa; Chordata; Lepidosauria; Squamata; Anolidae
Source: RefSeq, a predicted model, not a curated record
GGGAGAAGGAAGGAAGGAAUGAGGUAGAAAAGGAAGAAAGGAGAGAAAGAGGGAGGGAAGAAAGAAGGAAGGAAGGAAUGAGGUAGAAAAGGAAGAAAGGAGAGAAAGAGGGAGGGAAAGAAAGAAGGAAGGAAGGAAUGAGGUAGAAAAGGAAGAAAGGAGAGAAAGAGGGAGGGAAAGAAAGAAGGAAAGGGAGAAGGAAGGAAGGAAUGAGGUAGAAAAGGAAGAAAGGAGAGAAAGAGGGAGGGAAAGAAAGAAGGAAGGAAGGAAUGAGGUAGAAAAGGAAGAAAGGAGAGAAAGAGGGAGGGAAAGAAAGAAGGAAA